This 184-nucleotide small nuclear RNA is filed under the name Strigamia maritima. RNAcentral describes it as "U2 spliceosomal RNA". It matches the Rfam family "U2 spliceosomal RNA". Rfam says of the family: U2 is a small nuclear RNA (snRNA) component of the spliceosome (involved in pre-mRNA splicing). The record is from RNAcentral. Lineage: Eukaryota; Metazoa; Arthropoda; Chilopoda; Geophilomorpha; Linotaeniidae.
AGCUCCUCAAAAACACGAAUUCACCUGGUGGCUGUUCUUAUCAGCUUAAUAUCUGAUACGGUCCUCAUUGAGGGCCCAGAAUAUUAAACUGAUUUUUGGAACCAGAUGGGGUGCUCGGAGCUUGCUCCACCCCUGUCACGGGUUGGCCUGGUAUUGCAGUAUCUCCAGGAUCGGCCCUCUCCUU